This 460-nucleotide ribosomal RNA is filed under the name uncultured bacterium. RNAcentral describes it as "partial 16S ribosomal RNA". It matches the Rfam family "Bacterial small subunit ribosomal RNA", at positions 338 to 795 of the family's 1533-position model. The record is from RNAcentral.
CCUACGGGUGGCAGCAGUGAGGAAUAUUGGUCAAUGGGCGCGAGCCUGAACCAGCCAAGUCGCGUGAGGGAAGACGGUCCUAUGGAUUGUAAACCUCUUUUGUCGGGGAGCAAAAGACGCCACGCGUGGCGUUCCGAGAGUACCCGAAGAAAAAGCAUCGGCUAACUCCGUGCCAGCAGCCGCGGUAAUACGGAGGGUGCAAGCGUUGUCCGGAAUCAUUGGGCGUAAAGAGUUCGUAGGCGGCAUGUAAAGUCAGGUGUUAAAGGCGCAGGCUCAACCUGUGUAUGGCACUUGAUACUUGCAAGCUGGAAUGCGGUAGAGGUAAAGGGAAUUCCUGGUGUAGCGGUGAAAUGCUUAGAUAUCAGGAGGAACAUCGGUGGCGUAAGCGCUUUACUGGGCCGUAAUUGACGCUGAGGAACGAAAGCCAGGGUAGCAAAUGGGAUUAGAUACCCGAGUAGUC